Molecule: unclassified non-coding RNA, 2393 nt
Filed under: Dimorphilus gyrociliatus
Lineage: Eukaryota; Metazoa; Annelida; Polychaeta; Dinophilidae
Description: dgyrCDS7307
Source: RNAcentral
AUUACGGCGCUUGGAAUCACAGAACUCGGAUUACCUGCUUUACCUGAAUAGUUAUAUUAUUACUUAUUAUUUAAUCCAUCAUCAAAUUAGAAGAACAAUAGAAUAUUCUACUAACAAAACUGGUAUAACAUUUGUGGAACGUUUUAUACUUCGAACCUUCUAUUAUAUAAUAUCAGCCACAUUUCGAGUAGAUAAUAUAACAAAUCCGUAUCAAUUACCUUUAGAAUUCAUAUUUGGUAAGUUUUUAUUAUCUAUAUCAUUUAUUCUUAUCAAUAAGAAUGUAUUUUGUUAAUGUUAAAUAUAUUCGGGUAUUAACAGAACAAAAGGGCGCUAGUACGAUAACAUGAGUGUAUUUCUAUCAAUAUAUAGAUAAAAUGAAAUGUCAAUUACAAUUUCAUCAAUUAAAAUAGAUAAACUAUAUAGAUAUAUAUAUAUAUCUGUUGAAUUUUUUCGCCCUAUUCUAACACAUAUGAAAUAUUUAAAUCAAUUUCAUUUUUAUAUUAGAUAAUAAGAAAAUAUAUCAAACUAAGUGGUAUAAACUACAUUUAUUUAUUAUAUACUGUAUACGCAGAGUUUUUUAUUUAUUAAUAUAAUUCCAAUAGAGCAAGAGGGCAAAAAAGUGCUUCAUUAUAAAUUAUUUAGCAUCUAUAGGUGGUCCUUUAAAGCAAAACUACGUUUCUUUUCUUUAUCAAUUUUUGAAACUGCACAGAAAGAGAGAGAGAGAGAGAUUAAGUGAGUGAAUGAGAAUGAGUGGGAGGAAAGAAGGAAAAGAAAACGAAGGAAAGAUACAGACAUAAAGAAAGAGAGGAGACAGGCAGACACAAAAAAAACAUUAUCCUCUAUUUCCAUUAAAUCUCUUCCCUUAUAUGUUCACUUAAAUUUUAUAGUUUCUUUUAAAGCAACUACGAUAAAAGAAAAAUGUAUAUAAGGCCUAUAAUUUUGAGAGUACGAGGAAAGAGACUAUACCUACACUGUGUAAAUCUAGUGCGAUUAAAUAGUCCUCUUUAAGUGCUAAAGCAUUUAUAUAUAAACUAUCGGACUAGAGUGAAGAGGGAAUGAUAACCGGGAGCUUGUCAUUCUUCAGGUAUAACUUGAUAAAUCGAAGAAAAUGAGCAGAAGAGCAAGUUUAUUAUUAAAAGAAGAGCAAGAGCAGCCAGAAGGUUCGAGUAAAAAUAAGACAGCGAGAGUUCGUUUUCCGGAUGAGUUGGUUUUUCUGGAUAAUAUAAAAGAAAAUGAUGUUCAAGCCAUGGAUAGGAUGUUACGAAGGGCUAGUUUAAAAAUGGAUAUUAAUAGUAUGUCUAGCUCAGGAAUGACGGCUUUACACCAGGCGGUCGUCGAUGGAAAUUUUCAGGCUGUUAGGCUUCUAAUCAGACACGGAGCUGAUGUUAAUAAAACCGAUGAAGAUACAUGGACACCCCUGCACGCAGCCUGUGCAAAUGGACACGUCGACAUUGCCAGAUUUCUUAUUCAAAAAGGAGCCGAUAAAAACAUUAAGAACGAAGAUGGUGAGAGACCAAUCGAUUUAGUAGAUUCAUCGGAUUUUGCCAUGAUUAAAGUCGUAUUAGAGUGAAUCCAACAUAAAAAACUUAAUAGUCCUUCCUGAAAUAAAAACUGAUUGUUAGUAAUAUAAUUAAAAAAAAAAACUCAAUUAUAUUACAGAAUCUUUCCUCAUUAUAAUAUUAAUUAUUAAAAUUUCUCUGUUAUAAUGCUAGGCACUAGGAAGUUUGUUGUAAAGUCAAAUAAGGACUAGUUUAAAGAAAAUAAUAAAUAAAAAAAAAAAUAAAAAAUCAAUAUUUUUAUAAAUUCAUCAAUUUUCUCUAGGCCUAAUUCCUUAAAAAAUUUACCGACUAAUUAUAGUAGAAAAAGUCUAACGAAAAUUUAUGAUCAAAGAAGAGAGAGACAUGCAAUGUUUAAAAAGGAUAUUUAUCAUCUUUUAUACUCAAUUUUCAAUUGUCAAUUAUUAGUAAGAAAUAAAGUAAAAAUGGACUAGAGCGCUAGAUAACUAAUUAUAUUUCCUCUUUCUUUUCAUUUGUCUGUUCUAUUCACGCAAUAAAUAAGAUGUAAUAGAAAACAAUGAUUAAUAAAAAAAUGAAAGAAAGAAAGGUAGAGGAAGUAUAAAAAAGGAAACAUAAGAAGAAGAAGUAGCAGAAGAAGAAAAGAGAGAAAAAAUCUAUGAUAAAGAAAAGAUAAAAGAGAAAAAAAGAGAAAAAAAAAAUAAAAUUUUACAAAUAUAUAUCAAGCAAUUAAAUAAAAAGAAAACGAAUUGAAAAGAGGGAUAGUACUCGGGGUUUUGAGUUAUGGCUUUUCAUAAAAUUUUAGUCGACGUUGCACAGACUUGUCAAAAAAUAUUUCAUUUGACGUAUAAUAAAAAAAGAAUAGUUUAUUAAUGUGAA